This 253-nucleotide ribosomal RNA is filed under the name Ruminococcus bromii. RNAcentral describes it as "partial 16S ribosomal RNA". It matches the Rfam family "Bacterial small subunit ribosomal RNA", at positions 524 to 776 of the family's 1533-position model. The record is from RNAcentral. Lineage: Bacteria; Bacillati; Bacillota; Clostridia; Eubacteriales; Oscillospiraceae.
UCCUUUGGGCUCCAUCUUUUUCCGGAUUUACUGGGUGUAAAGGGUGCGUAGGCGGCUUUGCAAGUCAGAUGUGAAAUCUAUGGGCUCAACCCAUAAACUGCAUUUGAAACUGUAGAGCUUGAGUGAAGUAGAGGCAGGCGGAAUUCCCCGUGUAGCGGUGAAAUGCGUAGAGAUGGGGAGGAACACCAGUGGCGAAGGCGGCCUGCUGGGCUUUAACUGACGCUGAGGCACGAAAGCGUGGGUAGCAAACAGG